Arvicola amphibius (Eurasian water vole) is the source of this 589-nucleotide long non-coding RNA. RefSeq lists it as uncharacterized. The record is from RefSeq and is a predicted model, not a curated record. The transcript is spliced from 3 exons. NCBI's taxonomy places the organism in Eukaryota, Metazoa, Chordata, Mammalia, Rodentia, Cricetidae.
UGCUGUUAUCCAAUAGCUCGGCGAAUUUCAAACUUCCACCCUAAAGAAUUGCUCUUCCUACUCGAUCAUUCAACUGCUACAUCCUGAGCCUCCAUUACAUCCCAGAGACGGGCACAAUAUGAACAGUAGACAAAGUUCCAUCCUCAAGAUGACCUGUUCUGGGAGCGAGCAAGAUAGAGAGUUACAGGCGGUUGUGAGCCAGCAUGUGCGUGCUGGAAACCGAACUUGGAUUCCCUGAAAGAGCGACAAACAACAAGCCGGUUCCUAUUCAUCAGCCUUGCCCCACCUGCCCGCUUGACUCCCUGCUUCAGAUGCGACUUCACAGCGCUGCAGUGAUCCACAGAGCCCGGAAUCGCGCCUCUCAUCACCUGCUCAGAGGAGGUGCCAAUGACCUUCACAGUGCUGGCAUUUAGGACUUGAUGUUGCCACAAGCUGUCUUGUCCGCUGUGGGAGGCUUAGCAGUAGCUCUGGUAUCUGGUAUCUGACCCGGUGCAGUGCCACUAGGGCCAGGAGUGACAAAAGACAUCACUGACGGUCCCCAGGGAGCAAGUCGCCCUGGCUGAUUGAGACAAGCGGUUAGAAAACAAAG